UCAGUGUAUAAGAAAAAUGCAGUCCCUACUUGUCUUUUGAAUCGAUACCAGUACGGAAAUCUACAGGCAAGAACUAAGAUAACUGCUGCUAGUUCUGAGCUACGAGGUAUGGAAGGUGGGGCUAAUUUCCGUACAUAAUGCAGCGUGUUCGAGGUCCAUAUCUUGUCGAGGCCUCGAGAUACAGAAUAGUGCAUCCAGUGGACCACAAUCUAGGAUUCCAGGCUCAAACUUACCAGUUUUCUUAGAGCUGACAGAUGGGUGAUGGGUCUAAUUUAUAUCAAUACCUUUCGACACUUGGCAUGUCAAUCGAUAGAUAGUGACUCAAAUAGCAAGGUGGCCGGACUAAAAACAAGGGUGGUUGGCAGACUCUCUUCCCUAAUCGAUGUUGUGUUGUGUUUUAGAGGUUGUCCAUUGGAUUUGAGGCCCUGUGCAUUUGUCACUACGCGAAAGAAGAGAAGAAGCACGGGAUGCAUGGCGGAUAAACCUGAUGGAAGAGACGUACUUACACGAGGCGGUGCUCCGACUGAAUUGGUGCAAUAAAGCCUGGCUUUAUCAACAAGUUGGCAUAUCUUUCAAAUGCGCUGGCAAAUCUCUUGUGGGACUUUAACCGGGAAUGCACCCUCACCGCCCCUCUUGUCGUUAUGGCUCUCCUGUUCAAAAUCCCAGAAAAACAUGCCCUCUUUCAUUAAUACCAUGUACCGUACGAGAAUGAUUUUGAUUACUACACAGCCAGUUCUAUCAUGUUUCGAUUGUUACCUGAUGCCUCUAACAACAGCUAGAUAAGGGUCACAGACAACUCCAAACUCUAUUCUGUAUGGUUUCCUGCCAGUUUUCUCCUUCUUGUUGUUUAAUCGCUGGCCCCUACCUUUUCCCAGUAAUUUUGAUCAACGGUCCAUCCUCAGCAACCCCGGCCCUCCCAUUCGUAACGAAUCUGUAUACGAGCCAUGGCAAUUGUUUGCUCCACGAAAGGCUCCAUGAAAGGGUGCCAUCAUGAUACAUCCCGUCCUUCAUUCAGUGCAGUUACCAGGAGUGAUGAUGCAGCAUCGGUUGUGAUUGGUAGAUGACAUCCGACUCUUUGAAUGCUUCAGCCUCUCGGCCCUCUACAACAACCGCCUUUGCCUUUGCUCCUGACCAGAACGGUCUGCCCAUUAUUAUUGAUCAGUGUCCCAUCAAUCACAAUCACAGGCAUGCACUUCUCCACAGCAAAAUUCAAUUAUUUAAUACGCGACAUAGAAAAAUCAUGAAAGUUAUUUUUAAUGUUUACGAGGUAAAAUUUGAUAAAUCCAUACUCUUUGAGAAUGUCUUUGGUGACAGUGCUCUUGCCAGCCCCCAUACCACCACCCAUAAGUAGCAGCACCGGACUUCUCUCACUGAAGUGCCCCCGGCACCAUGUCCUCCGUACAAGGUGAUUCCCCCCGGCCGAUUGCUUUCAUUUCCUCAACUAGAGUAGAAAAUGCCCUUGUAACCUUCAAGUCCUCGGUCACCCUCUCAAAUCUUUGUUUUCUGCCAAAAGCGAUAAAAAUUAAAACCAUGACGAUAAUAUAAAGUAUCCAUUCGAUUCCUAAAACCAUAAAGUUUGGUGUGGUAUAAAUGAAAAACCACGGCACCUCUGGCCCUUCAUAAAAGAGAAAGAAGAUGAGGCCAAGUGGAAGUGGUGAUUGAAAAAUAAAAAAAUGAGGCCAAGUAAUAUAAUAUUACAAGUCAUUGUCAUCAAACCCUUUGGGCUUCGGUUUCCUCACGGAUUCAACAUCCAUAACCUGCCAUCCAUACAGAAAAUUAGAGUAAAGAGCAUAAGACAACAAAACACAAAAAACAGAAAAUAAAAGGUACUGUUCCUUUUCUUUUUAUUGUUUGGUUCUGAAAUUGAUGAUAAACCUGACUGAUAAACAGAGAUGCUCUGCUCCAAUGGAAAUGCGAAAUACGUGAGGAUGCAUUUUUCAAAUUCCCCCAUCAGCUUCACGUACAGAGAAGAUUGUAACUCAGGUAGAUUAGCAAAAAAUCAUCAUAGAUGUUAUUUCUCACACCCUUCAGAUCUUUUCAGAUAAUCAUAAGCCAAUUUUGCAUAGCCGUGGACACUCAUCUGCAUCUGCAAAUCCCAUCUGCCUAGCUACAAAGACAGUAAAAUGAAAAAAUGGGUAAAAUUUCUUCUUUCUUGACUCUGAGAAAAAAACAUUAUUGUCAAGAAAAAGUAAUACAACUUGAACAGUUUAUAGUUACUUAAAUUAAUUUACCAACAUAAUCGGGGAAUCUUUCAAAUCCAAACGGCCAGAUUCUGUCCUGACGAAGCCUGGAAUGAUGUGCUGGUCUCUUUUAGCGUUUGAUUUUCUCCAAUAGCCGUGAGUCCAAGCAGCAGCGGCACCGAUGAAACCCACCAAGGAAGCGGCAAGAACUCCUGUCAAUUUGGCAUGGCUUAUUUUCUUACUAGAAAACGAUCAGACAGAGAGAUUACGCAGAGAAAGAAAAAAGAAGGCUUACUUGACUGCAUCUUGUUGAAGCUUAGAGGAGGCUUCACUGCAGAUUAGAAAUAGUUUGCCGGGCUUUAGAUGAUUUUACCGAUCACAGAUGCAUGUCACUUGUGGGUCUUUGUAAGUAAAGGAUGAUGGAUAAAUUUUUAUAUGCUUAUUGAUUCCCACAUGACAAACAAAAAAGAACAUAUCUUUGAUUUGAUGCACAUCCUUUCACGUUUUGUUAAUUAAAACAAAAGCUAAAGUAUAUUGCAAUUUUUUUUCCUAAGAAUUCUUGGCUCCUAAGAAUAGGAUGGUGUUUUUUUUUUUAAAAAAAAAAAGUUAAAAGCUGACAUGGGGGCAUGUUAGGCUCUUUCGGACAAUGCACGCGAUUGCAUACCGUUGAAAAAAAUUUGAUUCUAUCAUAUCAUUAAAUUUAUCUUUUACUCAUUUUUAUCUAUGUGAGACGCGUGUGCUCGUCAGAUUUAUAAUAAGUUGCAAUAUCUUUUAAUUUUUCUUCUCUUUUUUUUCUAGAAAAUUGUGCCUAGCCCCUCAUAUUUUAUAUUAGUCAUUCAAGUUCAUUUUCUUUUGAUUUUUUUCUUGAUUUUUUAAUAUUUACUUGUUUUAUUGAUUCAUUUCUCAAAAAAAAAUUUUUACAAUUGCAUCCUCCUUUAAUUUUUUUGUUAUUAUAUUUGGUCUUUAUUCUUUUGAUUUUGUUUUUUUUUUUUUACUUUUAUUUUGUUGAUCUAUUUGUUGUUGGUGUUUCAAAAUCCGCCCUUUUAAUUUUGAUUUUUAAUUUUAGUCAUUUUCUUUUUUGUGGAGUUUUAUUUGUUUUCAAUUUAAUUAUUUAAUUCUAAUUUGUAUAUAUAAUAUUUUUCGAUUUGGUCCUUUUGCUUUUAAUUUUUUUUCCUUGGCUCUUUUGUCAAGAUAUUUAUAGCUUUUUAUUUUAUCCUUCAAAUCAAGAUUAUGAUUUUUUUUUCAAUAAUAAUAAUAAUUUCAAUUUGAUCUUUCUUCUUUUGAUUUCUUAUUUGUUUCCUUUAUCCUAAAAUUUUUAUGAUUUUUGUUAUAAUAGUAAUAAUAGCAAUGGUGGUAGUAGUAAUAGUAAUAGUAGUGGUAGUAAUAAUACUAAUAGUGAUAAUUACAAUGAUUGUAAUAAAAAUAAUGUUAGUAAUAAUGAUAAUGAUACUAAUAAUAUUAAUAGUGAUAAUAAUGUUAAUAAUAGUAGUUUAUUAUGAUAAUAAUAAUGGUGAUGAUGAUAAUAAUUGUGAUAGUACAACGACGACGAUAACUAAAAUAAUAAUGUAUUAAUAGUAAUAAUGAAACCAAUAAUAAUAUUGAUAAUAAUUGUAGUAAUAAUAGUAGUUUUUUAUGAUAAUAAUAGUGGCAAUGAGAGUAAUAUUGUUUUAAUAAUAAUAAUAAUUGUGAUAAUAACAGUAUUAAUAUUACUAAUAGUAAUUGUAAUGGUACUAGUAAUAGCAGAAUGAAUAACAGUAAGAAAUGAUAACAUUAGUAGGAUAUUAUUAACAAUAAUGAUAAUAACAUCACAACUUCUAAUAAUAAUAAUAAUAGCAGUAAUAGCACUACUACUAAUAAUAAUAGUUUAUUAUGAUGAUUAUGGUGGUUAUGAUAUCAAUAAUUAUUGUAAUUAAAGUAAUAAUAGUAACAAUUGUAAUAAUAAUAUCAAUAACUCAAAAUAAUGUUAUCAGUGAUAAUUUUAAUAAUAAUACUAAUAAUAAAUAACAACAACAAUAACAACAACAACAACAAUAAUGCUAAUAAUAGUAGUAAUAGUAGUAGUAGUAACAAUAAUAAUAACUGUCGCACGUGUGCGGCGGCGCGGCGAUCGUCCACCCUCAAGGAAAAAUCGGAAUAUUUAUUCCUUGAAAAUAGGGAGAGACAAGGAAUUCUUGUCUCUACAAGUGAAAAUAUGGACUGGGAGUCGCCACCUAGUAUUCGGGUUACUAGGAACCUUAACUGGUCUUUAGAGAUCGGGUACGGAGACUGGUUGCGUAAAGGGAAGGUAUUAGCACCCCAACUACGCCCUACCUAAGGUAGGCUGCAUUGUUUUAAUGUCUGAUAAAAUCUAAGGUCGUGUUUGUGGUUUUUUUUUUGUUCGGAAUACGCAUUACAUGUAAUGUCAUACCCCAGGUCUUAUUGUAAAAAAAUGAAACAUCCGGAAUUUAAAUAUCUGGAAUAUGUAUUACGUAUAUAAUCCCGGAUAUUAGAAAAAAAAAAUAAAUAAAAUUUUAUUGUUUUUGAAAUUUUGGCCAAUGUUCUCUUGACUUUAAUAAACUGGUUAUUAAAGCCAAAAUGCAUGCUAAAAUAUUGUUUUUUUGACAUAUGAAAAAUACGAUAUGAUUUUGUAGAUUUGAGACACUUGGCCGUAUGCACAAAAACAUUUUUUCUCUUUUUUCAAUUUUUUUUAUUUUUGGAAGUUUUGCCGAAAACCAGGUAUUUUAAUAUCAGAUUUUUGUAUUUUUAACAACAUAAAAAAAAUACCACCAAAUAUUAAUCAAAAUGACAUAAAAAUUACACGGAAAAAUUAUAAAAUGCUGAAACAAAUAUUUUUGAUUUUUUUCUUUGAAAUGGGCCGGAUUAGGCCCAAAUAUAUGGGCUGGGCCGAACCUGGCCCAAAGCAUGGGCUGGUUACUGUGCACAUGCACAGUAACCAUGAAUUAAUUAGCGAGUUACUGUGCACAUCACAGUAACUCGCUAAUUAAUCUGCAUGCAGAACAAAAAAAAACGACGGGAAAGGCUACCUGCGGUGGUGAUGUUGGACUCUCUUCUCUGCUUCUUCUUCUUCUGCUUUCUUCUCUCUGUCUCUCCCUUCUCUUCUCUUCUCCUCUCUUUUUUUUUUUUUCGAUCCUCCCCUGUUUUUAUAGGCAAAAACAGGGGAGACGUCAUGGUGGUGGCCGCCGCCCCCUCCACUAUCGAUGGAUAAAAAGGAGGGCAAGUGGGUGAUUGCGGGCGUCUUAUUGCGCCAAAUCCGGGUGAAAGAAGUUAGGCAAAAGGAGAAGAAAAAAUCUUCUUCUUCCCCUGCCUCGCGCGUCCAGGGGAAGAAGAAGAGCUACAGUGCCGUCAAAACGGCACCGUUUUGGGCUUCUGUUUUUUUUUUUUUUUUUGCAACAGUGAAUGAAACGGCGUCGUUUCAUUUAAAUGGAUUUGGCGCCAAAACACGUCAGAUUCAAAUUUCGGCCCUCCAUUUGCGCGCGUUUUACAAUUAGUCCUUGGUCUCGGAUUUCUUCAAUUCAGUCCCUAAUUGGCCAUUAAACCUCAAUAUUUAUGCAAUUAAGCCCCUGAUUUGACCAAAUUAACUUCUAAAAAUUAUAAUUUGACCCCAGAAAAUUAAUUUCUCUAAUUAAAGCCCAAAUUAACUCCAAAAUCAAUUUUUCUUGCAAUUAAAAUCUUCAUAAAUGCAAUUAAACCUUCAAUAAAUUUAAUUGAGUCCAUAAACUUCUGAUUUUGCAUUUUUCUUUCCACAAAUUGAAUUUUCUUUAUCAUCGGGCUCUCAUCAGUCAAUGAUAUACUGUCAAAAAUAAUUUUUAUAUUUUUGAAAAUCCUUAAACAAUUUUUUGAGCAUUUUUAGGCGCUUGGCAUUUUUUCACUGUUUAUUUUUUGAUAAUAUAUUUUUUUAAUUUUUUGUAUUUUAUUAUUUUUUAUGUAGGGACCCAGAAAUGGGUUACAACAGUUGCCCCCCUCUUUACAAUGCUUACGGAGCAAAGAUUUGUGCAUAGUAAGUGUUGUAAAGAUAAAAUAAAAUUGGUCUUUCGAAACUGGUCGUCUCAAAAUUUGAUUGACCUAAAACUUCAACCAAACCCAAAGUCCUGUGUGUGGUUGGGCUAAAUUGAGAUUCCUUUCGCCAAAUCCCCUCUAACCAGAACCAAAAUCCUAUGUGUGGUUGGGAUAGACUGAGAUUCCUGUCGGCAAUCCCCUCUAACCAGAACCAAAAUCCUAUGUGUUCAAACCCUUUGUUUUUUUGGAAGAAAGAUGGUAUAUUUUCACGGGCGAGCUGCCCACACAUACUUAAGGUGGUCUAUUUUCAGGGGCGACCAGCCCACACACUCACGCUGACUUUGGUCUAUUUUCAUGGGCGACCUGCCCAAACAUAAAAGUAAAGAGUGGUCUCAUUGUAAUGGGUGACCUACCCAGAUAAAAAAAAUGUGAAGAAUUGGAUGGCGAGGGUUUAAAGGCACACUCGAAAAGAGGUAGGGUUAGAAAAACGCAUUACCAAAGGAGUUGAGGGCUCAAAGGCGCACUCCAAAGGAGGUGAGGGCUCAAAGGUGCACUCAAAAAGAGGUGAGGGCUCAAAGGCGCACUCAAGAUGGAGUUGAGGGCUCAAAGGCGCACUAAAUGGAGGUGAGGGCUCAAAGGCGCACUCUAAAUGGAGUUGAGGGCUCAAAGGCGCACUCAAAAUGGAGGUGAGGGCUCAAAGGCGCACUCAAAAGGAGGUAGGGUUAGAAAACGCACUACCAAAGGAUGAGGGCUCAAAGGCGCAAAUGGAGGUGAGGGCUCAAAGGCGCACUCAAAAGGAGGUAGGGUUAGAAAACGCACUACCAAAGGGAUGAGGGCUCAAAGGCGCGCUCAAAAUGGAGGUGAGGGCUCAAAGGCGCACUCAAAAGGAGGUAGGGUUAGAAAACACACUACCAAAGGGAUGAGGGCUCAAAGGCGCGCUCAAAAUGGAGGUGAGGGCUCAAAGGCGCACUCAAAAGGAGGUAGGGUUAGAAAACGCACUACAAAGGGAUGAGGGCUCAAAGGCGCGCUCAAAAAUGGAGGUGAGGGCUCAAAGGCGCACUCAAAAGGAGGUGAGGGCUCAAAGCGCACUCAAAGGAUUGAGGGCUCAAAAGGCGCACUCAAAAUGGAGGUGAGGGCUCAAAGGCGCACUCAAAAGGAGGUAGGGUUAGAAAACGCACUACCAAAGGGAUGAGGGCUCAAAGGCGCGCUCAAAAUGGAGGUGAGGCUCAAAGGCGCACUCAAAAGGAGGUGAGGGCUCAAAGGCGCACUCAAAAGGAGGUGAGGGCUCAAAGGCGCACUUAAAAGGAGGUAGGGUUAGAAAACGCACUACCAAAGGGAUGAGGGCUCAAAGGCUCGCUCAAAAUGGAGGUGAGGGCUCAAAGGCGCACUCAAAAGGAGGUGAGGGCUCAAAGGCGCACUCAAAAGGAGUUGAGGGCUAAAAGGCGCACUCAAAAUGGAGGUGAGGGCUCAAAGGCGCACUCAAAAGGAGGUAGGGUUAGCAAACGCACUACCAAAGGGAUGAGGGCUCAAAGGCGCGCUCAAAAUAGAGGUGAGGGUUACAUAUUGUGAUCUUGACCUUUGGGAAGGGUUUGAUGUCAUCAUACAUCUUUGUCCUUCACCCUUUAUCUCAAGAGUUACCAAUUUUGCCCGACACUUUCCUUAGAACAGGAAUCAUGGAGUCAGUCCUACCAUGUGUUUUUGAUUGCCCCCCAGCUUGAUCAUGCCCCCCAAGUGUUCAACUUGGGUUUAGUUUGGGGUGAGGAUAUGUGAAAGUAAAUUUGGGUUUUUUGUACAAUGAAAUGUUUUCAUGCAAAAUUUUUGGAACUUCCAAGUUAUUCCAAUCACAAAAAUGAUUUUGAUAUUAGUUCAAAAUAAACUUGUUCUAAAAAAUUCAAGUGAUUCCUAUGGACAGGUUUCUUGAAGUGAUGAAAGCUUUUUUUGCUUUUGGUUGAAGAUGAAGGUGACAUCUGGUUGGUCAUAAAAGGUUUAAAUGUCAAUUUGAGGGUUAUUGAGAACCGAAUUGAUUCAAAGCAUUUAUUUUAUUUGCAUGAAUAAUGAUUUGACUCGCACGAGAAAGCACUGCCUACCUAUCCAGAUUGCUUGCCUUUGAUCAGAAAGGGCUUUAUCAGGUAUGUAAUGUAGGCUUUGGCUAUUGAUUAUGAAGAAAAUGGAUAUGUUGCAGGCUCAAAAGGAGUUUAAGGGAUUUCAAGACUAGAGAUCACUUGUGCUUGUUUCCUGACCUUUUGUCUUUUGGAAUUGUUUGUUUUUCAAAAUGAUUUAUCCUGCCCCCCAGUGUCGGGUUUGGGCUUUUCUCUUUGUUUUCUUCGUUUUUGUUUGGUUGAGCACAAUCAUAUCAGUUGUUUUAUGAGAAGCUCAAAUCUUUUAGAUCCUUUAGAUCUUCUUCUUUUCUUUUCUUAACCAAUCACUGCUUCAUUUAGAUGAUAAUGAAAGAUUAAAAAUUACAUGAUCAAUCCAGCACCCAUCUUCACUGCUUUGUCUGGAUGGGUAAAAACUCUAUUAUUUUGCCCCCCAGUGUGGGGUGUGAUCCUAGUCAAGGUUAUUUCCAAAAAACAUUACUAGGCUCAAAAUGGGACUGCAACGGAUAUUUUUUAGCCUUGUGAAAGGAUUAUCAAAGAUGGCCUUUCCUCAUCUCAAACUCAUGCAUUGAGGAUCGAUAGGUCUUGCUUUCAUGCGCGUAUGCCAAAUGAUUUAUUCAGUCAAAUAAAACUCAGCUUUUGAGUCACCUCAUAGUGUUGUUUAUCUUUGUUGUCUUUUUUCUUUCAAGUUUUCUAGGUAUAUGUGUACCUAUUUAAGGAAUCACUUGAAUUUUCAAAAUGCAUUUGUUUUGGACAAAUAUCAACACGAUUUUUGUUUUUUUUUUUACUCACUUUGGAGGUCCCAAAAAAAUAUUCUUGAAAACAUAUGAGAUUAAUGUAUGGGUUUGGAAGAAAAAAGGAAUACCAAAGGAUUUUUCAUGUUGUAGUGUUGUGAGCAAAGUUGCGCUCAAAAUGUUAUUUACAUGUAAUAACAACAAAGAAGAGUGUGAUGUGAACACAAGAAAACACAUGAUCUUAUUUCACAAGAAAACUCAUUAACAGAGAAAGUCUUGUUCAAAAGCAUUAACAAAAGGCAAUAACAAGGCAGGCUUCAUUCCUCUAUUUUGGCGAAUUUGUUCAUCGGCUAACCUCCUCUCAAAAGCUCUGCAUAGAGGACUCAAAGACAAUGUAGAACAAACACCACGGUCCAAAGUUGAGUUCCACAAAAUUCAAGCUAUCAUGCUGGACCAUUGAUGCUUCCCAAUUCCCCAAACAUUCCAUUCUAAUCUGCUUCAAGCAUGAUUAGGCAACGGGUUUGUAUUCACAUUGGGGGCAUCUUUCAAUUCUAUCCACCCAGCCUUGAUUAAUUGCAGAAGCUUUCUCUUGAAGGCGUUGCAGGUAUAGAUGCUAUGCCCAGUAAUACGAGCAUGGUAUUCACAAUUGAGUUCUGGCUUGUACCAAUUACGAUAAGGUGGCUGCAGAGGUGUUGGAGGUUCUGGAGCUAUUUGCCCAAUGCUUAAUAGCUUUUGAUACAUCUCAUUCAGAGGUAAUGAUAGUGGAGGUAGUUGUUCUUAAACCCUUUGGAAAUUUCUAAUUUGGCUUUUGCCUUGAAAGUUUUGGGGUUCAGGUUUUUUGAUGUUGGCAAUUUGGAAUGGAGUAUGGUAAUUUUGGGAUGUAUUUGUUUUACCCAUGUAGCCAUCUUCAACAUGGUGAACCUCUUUUCUUUCGACGCCUCUUUUCUCGGUUGGUGCAGCAAUUCUACCACUCUUGACACCUUGCUCUAUGCGUUCACACACUAUCACAGCAUCAGUGAAUUGUUGGGCUGAACUACCCAUCAUAUGUUCGUAAUAUGGUGCUUUGAGUGUGUUGGCAAAUAAAGAGACCAUCUCUUUGUCCAGAAGUGGGGGAUGUACUUGAGCAGCUAAUUCUCGCCAUCUUUGAGCAUAUUCCCUUAUGCUUUCUUUAUCCUUUUUUCUAUAUUGGACAAACUGGUUCUGUCGGGCGCAAUGUCCAUGUUGUACUUGUAUUGCUUGACGAAAGCAUCCACAAGAUUUUUCCAGUUGCGAAUUUUUGUGUUAUCCAAUCUCAUGUACCAACUCAAAGUUGCCCCACUUAAACUGUCUUGGAAAAAGUGCAUUAGUAGUUUUUCAUCAUGUACUACCUCAGCCAUUUUAUUGCAGUAGGACCUGAGAUGAGUCAUGGGGCAUUGUGUUCCACUGUAUUUGAUGAAUUCAGGAACACGAAAUUUCUUUGGGACAACCACAUUUGGGACCAAACACAUCUCUGCUGCCCGUACCGGGUCAUAUAAGUCUAUCCCUUCAAUGGCUUUAAGUCUGGCUUCCAACGCCUCUAUCUUAGCUUGAUCAAUGCUAUCAGAUGACUUAGCCUUGUGGGACUCAUUAGCAGAUGCCUUCACGACUGUUGGGGAUGGUGCAGGUGUCGUUGACUGCACAAAUGUUGGAUUUUGCUGAGGUUCUUGACCAUGUUCGCUCAUUCUUUCCUCAGGCUGAACUGUAGUAGGAGCCGGAGCAAAGGUGAUCGGUUGAUUAGAAGGACCUUCAUCAGAGGUAUUUCUUAGUGUUUGCUUGAGUAAGCUAGUGAGGUGAGCCACACUUAUUUUCAGAGAUUCCAACUCGUCGUGCAAAUAGGCCUCACGUUGAGCACGCUCUUCAUCUUCCAUGUUUCUUGCUCGAAGUCGGGUGUUGUAGACUUUUUGGGGACCUAUAUUUCAAUCUGCCAUGUAUGCAUGUUAAAUGUAUGAACAUGUAAUUUAUGUGAUGCACUUGCCCUUCAAGGGGUGACAUGGUUUUAUUAUUAUUAUUAUUAUUAUUUUUUGUAUGACAUGUUCUGUAAAGAAAGAUAGCGCAUACAAACUAAAGACAGGGUCUAUUCAUGAAUAGGUUUUCUACCUGGUCUCAAAAGGGUCUCAUAUCUGCCCAGUGACGUCCUUCGUAAAGGCAGUAUGGGGGCGUUGCAAAGAACAGUUAAGGCACGUAUGCCCACCAUUACCAAGCAGGCUCUCAGAUAUGAGUUGGGUGUUUCACGCAUCUGAACCCGACCAAUAGUCAAGGGCAGAUCGUUAAUUCCCCACUUAACUUAGAAGCUUGUGUGUGCUUGAAAAAUAUAAAGCAUGUGAUGCAUGAGGCAGUUUUAUACAAUGCAUGAACAAAUAUGUACAAAAAUUAAAGCGCGUAAGAAAUAAAUAAAGAAAAUGCAUAUUUAAAAAUAAACACGCAAACCACAACAAAAAACACAAUAAAUCAGACAACAACAAAGCUUAGUCCACAAGGUCCCCAGUGGAGUCGCCAUUCUGUCGCACGUGUGCGGCGGCGCGGCGAUCGUCCACCCUCAAGGAAAAAUCGGAAUAUUUAUUCCUUGAAAAUAGGGAGAGACAAGGAAUUCUUGUCUCUACAAGUGAAAAUAUGGACUGGGAGUCGCCACCUAGUAUUCGGGUUACUAGGAACCUUAACUGGUCUUUAGAGAUCGGGUACGGAGACUGGUUGCGUAAAGGGAAGGUAUUAGCACCCCAACUACGCCCUACCUAAGGUAGGCUGCAUUGUUUUAAUGUCUGAUAAAAUCUAAGGUCGUGUUUGUGGUUUUUUUUUUUGUUCGGAAUACGCAUUACAUGUAAUGUCAUACCCCAGGUCUGAUUGUAAAAAAAUGAAACAUCCGGAAUUUAAAUAUCUGGAAUAUGUAUUACGUAUAAUGUCAUAUCCCGGAUAUUAAAAAAAAUAAAUAAAUAAAUAAAAUUUUUAUUGUUUUUGAAAUUUUGGCCAAUGUUCUCUUGACUUUAAUAAACUGGUUAUUAAAGCCAAAAUGCAUGCUAAAAUAUUGUUUUUUUGACAUAUGAAAAAUACGAUAUGAUUUUGUAGAUUUGAGACACUUGGCCGUAUGCACAAAAACAUUUUUUUCUCUUUUUUUCAAUUUUUUUUUAUUUUUGGAAGUUUUUGCCGAAAACCAGGUAUUUUAAUAUCAGAUUUUUGUAUUUUUAACAACAUAAAAAAAAUACCACCAAAUAUUAAUCAAAAUGACAUAAAAAUUACACGGAAAAAUUAUAAAAUGCUGAAACAAAUAUUUUUGAUUUUUUUCUUUGAAAUGGGCCGGAUUAGGCCCAAAUAUAUGGGCUGGGCUGAACCUGGCCCAAAGCAUGGGCUGGUUACUGUGCACAUGCACAGUAACCGUGAAUUAAUUAGCGAGUUACUGUGCACAUCACAGUAACUCGCUAAUUAAUCUGCAUGCAGAACAAAAAAAACGACGGGAAAGGCUACCUGCGGUGGUGAUGUUGGACUCUCUUCUCUGCUUCUUCUUCUUCUGCUUUCUUCUCUCUGUCUCUCCCUUCUCUUCUCUUCUCCUCUUUUUUUUUUUUUUUUUUCGAUCCUCCCCUGUUUUUAUAGGCAAAAACAGGGGAGACGUCAUGGUGGUGGCCGCCGCCCCCUCCACUAUCGAUCCAUGGAUAAAAAGGAGGCGGCAAGUGGGUGAUUGCGGGCGUCUUAUUGUGCCAAAUCCGGGUGAAAGAAGUUAGGCAAAAAGGGAGAAGAAAAAUCUUCUUCUUCCCCUGCCUCGCGCGUCCAGGGGAAGAAGAAGAGCUACAGUGCCGUCAAAACGGCACCGUUUUGGGCUUCUGUUUUUUUUUUUUUUUUUUGCAACAGUGAAUGAAACGGCAUCGUUUCAUUUAAAUGGAUUUGGCGCCAAAACACGUUAGAUUCAAAUUUCGGCCCUCCAUUUGCGCGCGUUUUACAAUUUAGUCCUUGGUCUCGGAUUUCUUCAAUUCAGUCCCUAAUUGACCAUUAAACCUCAAUAUUUAUGCAAUUAAGCCCCUGAUUUGACCAAAUUAACUUCCAAAAAUUAUAAUUUGACCCUAGAAAAUUAAUUUCUCCUAAUUAAAGCCCAAAUUAACUCCAAAAUCAAUUUUUCUUGCAAUUAAAAUCUUCAUAAAUGCAAUUAAACCUUUAAUAGAAUUUAAUUGAGUCCAUAAACUUCUGAUUUUGCAUUUUUCUUUCACAAAUUGAAUUUUCUUUAUCAUCGGGGUUCUUAUCAGUCAAUGAUAUACUGUCAAAAAAUAAUUUUUAUAUUUUUGAAAAUCCUUAAACAAUUUUUUUGAGCAUUUUUAGGGCGCUUUGGCAUUUUUUCACUGUUUUAUUUUUUGAUAAUAUAUUUUUUUUAAUUUUUUAUGUAGGGACCCAGAAAUGGGUUACAACAAUAACAACAACGAUAAUAACAAUGAUAAUAAUGAUAGUGAUUGUGAUCAUGAUAAUAAUAUUAAUAAUAAUGAUGACGAUAAUAAUGAUAAUGAUAUUACUUAUCAAUAAUGAUAGUAAUAGUGAUCAUUAUAAUAAUACUACUAAUAAUAAUGACGAUAAUAAUGAUGAUGAUAUUACUUCUUAAUAAUAAUAGUGAUAGUGAUCAUGAUAAUGAUAGUUGUAAUAAUAAUAAUAAUAAUAAUAAUAAUAGCAAUAAUGAUAAUAAUAAAUAUCGUAGGGGUCACGAUGUUGUCUGGCGAUGGCAGAGAGUCCGUGCCUCCUGUGUGAGAGGUGUGUUGUGUGUUGGGAAGUGUUUUUGGAUUAUGAUUAAUUUUUAGGAGUCACCACCUAGUAUUGUGAUCACUAGGAACCUAUGGUCUGUGAGAGUCUGAGUAAGGGACUGGUUGUGCAAGGGAAAAACGCAUUACCCCCAGUGCACCCUACCUAAGGUAAGCUGCAUUGUUGUUUGAUUGCUUUUUGUUGGUCUUUAUAAGGCUUAAGGUAGAUCUCUCUUCAUGAGAGAGUCUCUACUUUAUUGGGUUAAAUCCUAACCGUUCUAAAAUCUGAAUUUUAGCAUCAUAUUUAUUUACACCUUGUAUCUUUAAUACCUGAAGGUGUACUUUAUCGUGUAAUUUUACCCCACACAAAUAUUAAAGUCUACAUCUAGACCCUAAAAAAAAGAUUGGAGAUGGUUUUUUGACAUUUUAGCCAAAUCCUAAUGGAUAAUCAUAAACUAGUUACGAUAUCCAUUUUUUAUUUUUUUUAAAACAUGAAAGAGAUGCAAUUUUUUUUUUUUUUAUUUUUUAUGAAAAAUAUGCUUAAAAAAAAUUUUAGGAUUUGACUGUAUGCAAUAAAAUAUAUUUUUUCUUUUUGAAAAUGUUUUGAAUUUUUUUUUGAAAUAUUUCGGAGAAAAACCAGGUAUUUUAAUACCGGAUUUGUAUUUUACAAUGUAAAUAUACAACCCGAUAUUAUGCAAAAUGGAUAGAAAAAUAUUUGAGAAAAUCACAAAUUUUUAAAAUGAUUUUUGAAUUUUUUUGGGAUUUUUUUUAAAAGGGGGCUGGGCCAGAACUGGCCCGGCCCAAAGCCAUGUUAGUUAUUCUGCCGCUGCAUGCAGAAAUGAAUUCUGUUCUGGCCCAACCCAAAGCCAUGUUAAUUAUUCUGCCGCUGCAUAUUGAAAUGAAUUAUGCAUGUAGCGACUGCGAUAAAGGAGGAGGCAACGCGGGGAGGAGAAGCUAUUGUCACUGGCUUGGCGUGAAGAUGGCAGUGGCGCUGGUGGAAGAAAUGGUGGCGGGGUUGGCUGCUUGUGGCAGAGGAAGAAAGAAGAAGAAACAUAAGAAGAAAAUAUGCAGAGGGAGAGGGAAGACCUCGCGGUGACUGCUCUACCACUGGUGAACCGUUUGUUGGUACAAAAGCAAGGUUUAUGUGGUGCAGAUAAUGGUGGAGAAGAUGGUGGUGGCUCUGGUUAGUGGCUAGAACGGCGAGGAGAGAGAGACUGCAGAAAUGGGGCAGUGGGGGGCUGUUUUUUUGCCAAAUUUGGACUCGAUUUUCUCCUUCCUCAGAUCAUCAACGGAAGCCUCUAUUUAGAGACGGUGGAAGAGGGUAAUCUCGUCUUCACCGAGAUAAAAUUUUAGCCCUCGAUUAUCUUGGAAAGGAUCCUAACCGUUGGUUCAAAGUAGCCUUCUCGAGUUGUCAAAUCUGCAGGAAAAGGCUGCAUGAGUUGACCUCUCUAAUCAGGUCAUUCAUUCUGAACAAUUCACAUGGGGUUGUAGAGGAAUUGCAGGGGAUCCGUUUUGUGCAAGUUUGGUUCAAUUUGAUGGAGAAAUCAAGUAUUAACUGCACCUGCAAAGUAGGCUCCCACACUGUUUCUUUCGGAUAAAACGGGGAAGAUAAUGAACAGUGAUCAAACAAUGCGUCGUCUGGUCCCUUCUCUCUCUCUCUCUCUCUCUCUUUUCUUUAAGUAAAACGACGUCGUUUUGGACUGAAAUGGGGAUUUUUAUUGAAUUUCAAUUUAGUCCUCUGGCUUUCAAUUUGUUUUAAUUGAACUCCUAAUUGACCCUAAAUGUUUGAUUUAAUGCAAUUAAGCCCCCGAUGAACUUCAAUUGCAACCCCGUAUUUACACGCCUUUUGCAAUAUGGUCAUUGGUUUCGGAUUUUGUCAAUUUAACCCCUAAUUGACCAUUACAUUUUUAAUUUCUUCAAUUUAGCCCCCAAUUUUUGUCAAUUAAGUCCCUAAAGUGUGGCGCCUGUUGCAAUAUGGUCCUUAGUCUAAGAUUUUAUCAAUUUAACCCCUAAUUGACCCCAAAACUUCAAUUUUCUUGCAAUUUUGCCCUUGAUUUCAGUCAAUCAACUUGGUAAAAAUUAAAUUUGAUCUUUUAAAAUUUCAAUCUUCUCAAUUAAGCCCAAAUUAAACUCCCAAACUUAAGUUUUCACCAAUUAAGCCUCAAAUAAAAUUAAUUUGACCAAUUUAAAGUAUAAUUAAGUCCUUGUACUUAAUUAAAUUCUUCAAUUGGACCCAAAUUAAUUCUUAAACAUAAUUAAAAUUUAAUUUGGCCCAUGAUUAAAUCAAAUUGGCCUAUUAAAAUUUAAUUAUGUUCUUGGUCUUAAUUUUUCACUAAUUAAGCCCUAAAUAAAAUUAAUUUGACCCAUUUAAAGUAUAAUUAGGUCCUUACACUUAAUUAAAUCCUUUAAUUGAAUCAAAAUUAAUUCUCAAACAUAAUUAAAAUUCAAUUUUGCCCAUGAUUAAAUCAAAUUGGCCUAUUAAAAAUUUAAUUAUGCCAUUGGACUUAAUUUUUAUGCAAAUUCGUCUAAUAAUAAUUUAAUUUGACCUUAAAUUUGCAUUUUUUUUUCUCCAUUUUUGGGUAUAAUGGGGUACAAUUAAGCCUUGAAUUUCCUCCAAAAAAUUGCAACUUGAUUCCCCGGGCUACUUUCUCCAUAUUGCCAGUCUUUAUUUUAUUUUUUAAUUUUUAUUUUGAAUUUUUUUUUUAUUUUUAGGGAAUAAUCUAGAAUUAGGUUAUGACAAUAAAGAUGAUAAUAGUAACAAUGAUAGUAAUAAUUUAUCAUUCGAUGUUAGAUUAGCUGGGGAUUGAGUUUCACCAUUUUUUCAUGUACGAUAUUUUCAGUCUAAUAACAGGAGUUGGGAGUUUAAAAAGCUUAUGAGACCCAACACCCUCUUUUAUUUUUUGCCUUAUUGGUUUUCUUCAUAAUUUUAUCAUUCAACAUUGGUGUUUUUAAAUAAAAAAAUGAUCAUCUAGGUUUCCUUUGAAAUUAUUAAAUAAAUCAAUUCACAUCAAGUUAACUAUUAUAUAGUUUAGGUGUUGAGCCUGACAUCUUAGCAGACUCAUAAGUGCUUGGGUUUAGCGCGUAGCCGAGUCCAAUAGGGUUAGGUCUAACACUUAACUAGAUCUCCUAGCACUUGGUUUUAAUACGUAGUUAAGUCCAAUAUAAUUGGGUCUAAUAUCUUAAUAGACUCAUUAGUGCUUGAACUCAAUGCGCAACCAAGCUCUAUAGAGUAUUUGGAUUUGGAGGUGUAGGUUAAGGCCUUUCAAGAAAAAGGAAUUUGUGUAAAAUAUGUUAGUAGAACAUAUAAUAAAAACAAAAAAGGACAAUGUCAUCCUACUAUGAGCGAGUCAGAGUAAAGGUUAGUAUGAAAAUAGAAAAAAAGAUGAAGAUAUAAUUAAACUUAAAUAAAUGGAUAUAAAAUGAAAUAACCAUAUUUUGUAGGGGUUUAAAAACAUGUUGGGGGUGGGGGGCUCCGCCUGCACAGAUAAUUAAAGUAAGAGUCUAAGUGGGUGAUGGAUGCAAGGACCGUUGGAAUAAUAUUCUAUACAUUCAUAAUUGAUGGUUCAUUUAGGAAAUAUAUCAUCUAUCAUCGUUUGUAACUAGUCUAUUUACUCGUGUAAUGUUUUGGUUCAUAUAAAAAACUAGCUAUUUCUUAAAAAAUUAAAAUUAGCUAGAAGAAAAUUUUGUAUUGUAAACAAAACAGUUAAUGUAUAUUUAAUUAAAUAAAUUGGUAAUACUACUAAAUAAAAUUCACAAGUUGGAUUAUAUAACUCUAAUUUGAUUUACAAACGAAUUUAUAUUGGCUUUUUUUUAACGACUCUCUUUGGCUAUUUGCUAGUUUUUGAAUAAUGGAGAGAUGGUAGAGAUUUUUUAAUCUAAAAUUUUAUUUUUAAAUAUAUUUCACCUAAAAAUACAUUAUAAAUAUUUUUAUAAUGUUAAUGAAUUAAUUUUAAAUUGAUCUAAAAAACAAAAUCAAACUAGAAAAAAAUUCUUUUUCAACCCAACCUACUUCUCCAGACUCCAUAAAAGCGUAAAAACACAAUAAGACGUGUUGACAACUAAUAUUUUUCCUUUUUCUUUACCGUUCAUCCAUGAGUUUCUCUCCUCACUCAAAUUCACGUAUUGAAAAAAGUUCAAAAUAAAUUCUUGAACCAAAACUAAGCCUGAAAAAGUUAAAGGGUCCAAUCCAAAAAAAUAAAGGGAAAUAGGUGGGCUGCAAAAAUGCUGCUUUUGAGACCGACGACGUGGUUUUCACAUGAUUUACUGCAAGUUUUCAUGGCAACGUGUUUAUAAUCGUUUUUUAAAUAAUUUUUUAUAUUAAAAUAUAUGUUAAUAAUAUUUUUUUAAUAAAAAAAAAAUUAUUUUAAACAUUAAUAUAUUAAAAUGUUUUAAAAACAUUAAAAAUAUAUUAAUUUAAAAUUAAUAAAAAAUUAAAAAUAUUUUUAAAACAUAAAAAUAAAAAUAAAAGGAUAUAUAAUUUUAAUCAAUGGUGCGGUCUAGUCAGGGUUCAACUACCAUAUAAAAUACACAGCUGGAAAUCACUUUACACUAUUCUAACUCUAUCGCCAAAGCAUCUCACAUACUUUUGCAUCAACUUGGCAUUAAAAUAUUCUUAAUAUUACCAGCUUACUAAGGAUCAGCUGAGGUGCAUGUUUCACUCUUACCUGCUGCUGUAUUAAUGGUAGAAAUUAUAUCAUGGUGUUCUUGGUCUGCAAAUUAAUCACUGUCUUUUACACGACAACACAGAGGUAUUUGUCGUCACUGAGGGUAUAAAUAUCAUUUUAUAUAUCAAUCUUAAUUAAAAAAAACACACACAGUAACAACAAAAGAAUCUAUGGUUAUAUCAGAACAAAUAUGAAGGUAAGCUUUCUCUCCCAAGCCAUUCCUCCAUGCCAAACGUACUUGAAAUUGGACGAUGGUGUCAUGUUUACGAGGGACAGAUGAAAAGCUAUAGAAAAGGAAAAUCACAACAAUAUAUGCAAAAGCUUACUCAAGCGCUUUGUUCUUCUCACUUUAUGUAUUUUUGAAAGCGACAACUGAAUCUAUAUCUGCCUAAAACCCUAACAUUUUCAUCUCUUCAACUUUCAAUCUUAAAUCUUCUUCGGAGGGUGUCUUGCCACCAUCCUUCAAGGUUGCACGCCACCAUGCCAUUAGCUCACCCUGCAGAAUACAGGAGCCAGGCUUAACCGCCACUUUCAAGAGUAAAAAAAUGAGAGCAACAUAUGAGUAGGAUCACUUUCUUUCUCAGGUACAAGGAUAACUCAAAUUGUCUUCAUGAAGAGACUCCACCAAGCAAAUGCAGAUUCAGUCAUAUAAAUCAUCAAUGAAGGAGACUUCAAUGCAACAUGAAUCAAGAUUUGGAGUGUAAAAUAGGGAAUAUAGAAGAAAGAUCAUAAGACCAUAUUCUGAUGAGUAGUGAUCCUUGAAUGAGAAAAGGGCUACUUGACCGAGGCCAACUAAUCGUGCAUUCAAAACAUACAAACAUGAUUCAACAGGGGAAAAAAGGCUGUAAAUAGCCAGAUUAAUUAUAUGUAGUCCAUGAAUAAAGAUAUCAAGCUCGCAGAUUCAGCUGGAAAUUUAUACAUCUAAGAUUGAAAUUUAAAUUGCUAGAUUAUAUAGAACAUGAAUUCGUUUUCAGAGUCGGGCUUUUACCUCGGUGAAAUCGUGGUUGGAGAUGUAUUGACUCUUAACUAAACAUUUGACGCCACCUACAAUUACAGCAAUAGAAUUUUUGAACUUUUGUUUUGAACUCUGACUUUGAACUCCUGUAUGAUCAAAAGAAAGAACAGGGGAAAAAGGGGAGGGGGUGAGUCGUCAACAGAAACGGAAGCUAAUUAAUGACAACCAUGCAACUCGUCCAUCUAUCAUAGAUAGGAGACAUGGUAAACAAUUUUGGCUUACCAGUAAUGCAGGCUACAUAAUACCCAGUUCCACCCAAUCCCUGUUCCCACUUCCCAAGCCGCAAGCGCAGGAAAAAGCCAUCAAGAUGUGAUGGUGGUGUAUGCGAAUUCAUCCAUCUGGUGCCAAUGCAUGCAACAUAGAAAAUAUCAAUAAAAGGAUAAAAACUUUUACGACAAUAAUUUCUAGAAAAGAAAAAUUCAAGCUUUGAUGAAUGUUACAGAUAAAACCAAGGUUAUUCCCUGAAAGUAGUUUUGAGUUUUAGUUCAUAUUGGUGUUGAUAAGUAGGACUAUCAAGGGAGAGAAUCAUAAAUGAGAAAGCAGGACUAGAUUUAUAAUUAUCUUGUAAUUGAGUUUUUCUAGAAUGACCAGCGAUUGCCUUCAAUUGCAGUGUAGCUGAUGUAAUAGUGCAGUUAUCAUAAAAAAGCCACAAACACAUUAUUACAUAUUUGCUUCUCUAUGUUCAAAUUUUGCAUGGAGGUAUGCCAAAAGAAGACAGGAGACCCAAAAAGAGCUACUAAAAUUUACCCCCCAUUGAUAUUGACGAUGAAGUACAUUAAUUACAGCCGUAAGAUAGAUAUGCAGAGAGCUAUCCGAGCUAUCCUUGGAAUUAAUUUUCCUAGAAGGUCACUCAGAUUUCACUUCGAGUUCAAAAAAUUUCGAAGUUAUGGAGAAGAAGAAAAAAGGUCAUCCUUCAGUGGUCCUGAACACUACAGACAGAUUACAGUUUGAUCUGCAUCAGAAGGUAACACGGUUAUCCAAAUGCCAUCUUCUUGCCAGAAGGGUAGACUCUCUACCAUAAAACCAUGUUGCAGAAACAAGCUUGUAAGAUAUGCAAAAGACAAAUGGAAAAGAACUGACUUCGAGGUGGGAGGCAAAUGCCAAAAUCACGAGCCAAAGUAUAUGAGGAUAAAGUAACAGAAGAUGAUUUGAAUGAAUAAGCAUGGACAUACCAAUAUUAAGCCAGAUGUUCAAGCCAAUGCAUUUCAAAAUUAGCAGCUCACGAAUUUUCUGGUUCAAAUUUGUCAUCCUCGGUUCAUAUUUAGGAAAAUGAGGCUUUAAUGUCCUUACCAGAAGUUUAUUAGAUUUUCUAUGCAAUCAAAAAACUUGCCACCUUGGACUUGGUUUAUCUAGUAGAGAAAAUAAAUGUUAGCAAUCAAUGACAAAGAAUAACAAUGCAGCAGCCAGAACGUUUAAGGGGUGAAUCUCUUACGUAACCAGUCACAUACUAUAGUAUCUAUGUUGACCAGUUAGGGUUUCUAAUGACCAUAAUACUAGGUGGCGACUCUUUAAAUAAGAAUAUUCUCCAUCAAAGAAUAGGAUGCUAGAAAUCCAUUCUUCCCAAAGAUUUAAUAAUUUUUAAAGCCUCUGCGAUGUCGUGUGCGACAAAUAUUAUUUGAAAUAAAAAAAACUUGUUAGGGAGUGCGUAAUAAGCGCCAACAUUUGGACAACUCCUGUGGGAUUGUCCGACCAUGAAACACUACCUUUUGAGGUGGCGUUUAGAAGGUCUCGGCACCUCCUACAUGAUGGGGUGGCGCAUGGCCUAGAAGUGCCUUUAGUUUGUUGUCAAUGACUUUUUUUUUCUUGUUGUUUUUUUCUCCUCUCCUCAUAUUAAACACCAUCCCAUUCAAAAAUUCAGAUUAACUCCUUGAAUUUCUUUUUCCUUUACAUUUGGUCUAUGUAUUUUUUACUAUAUUUGUUUUUAUCAUAUAUAAGCCAUUAAAUUACAAAUAUUUUUCAAUCCCCCCUAUUUUUAUUUUUUAAUCUUUAAAAUUUGAUCCUUAUUUUUUAUAUUGUUGUUUUUUAUUUUCAAUCAUCUAUAAAAUUAUUAUUUUUUCAAUUUCACCCUUUUUUAUUUUUUUUCUUUUAAAUUUGGUUAUCAUUCUUUUGAUUGCUAUUUAUUUUUGUUUGGGAUCAUUUUUUAGUUUUUUUUUUACAAUUUCAUCAUCCAUGAUUUUUUUUUCUUAUCAAAUUUACUCUUUAAUUUUUCUAUUGCUAUCUUUUAUCAUUUGAUGAAUUUUUUCAACUCAUAUUGUUUUUACAAUUUCAUCAUUCAAAAUUAAAUUGGUUGAUAAUUGAGCUUCUUGAUUGAACAUGUUUUAAGGAUUUCAUGGAUUGUGAGUUUUAGAUAUGAGACCGGGUUUAGAAGGUUUGCCGGAGUUUAUUUGUUUUUAUUUUUUCAUUUUUUUCAAACAUAAUGGUUUUUAUUCUGCACCCUAUUUUUAGAGUUUUGCUUUAUUAUUAUUUUUAUGUUUUGUCUUUCAUGGAAUUAGUCUCAUGUCUAUGACUAUAGUAACUAGUUUAAGAAGUUGACAUGAGUUAACUUUUGAUUUUUUAGGUUUUUUUAAAAUUGAUUUAUUUCAAUUUCAUCAUUUAACAUCUAACUCAUUUUAAAUUAGUCUUCCUAUAUAUUUUUUACUGGGUUAUAUCAAUCUAAUGCUCAUGGUCGCGGGGUUGGCAAGUUGACUCAGGUUGAUUCAUUUUUUUUGUUGCUACAAGGUUGGUCUAGGUCCAUGACCAAAAUCACUGGUUUCAAAGGUGAACGUGAAUUGACUUUUUUAUUAUCCUUUUUAAAAUUGAUUUACUUCAAUUCCACCCUUCAAUAUAUGAUUUGCUGGAAAUUGAUCUUUGUACUUUUUUUUUGUUUCCUUUAUGUUGGAUUAUCCUUGAUCUUGUGUCCAUGGUUGCGGGUUUUGAAGGUUAAUCCAAAUCAACUCAUAUUUUUUCCAUUGCUUUUUUAAAUUAAAUUAAAUUUUGUUUUUGUUUUUGUCAUUUAACAUCGAGUUGUUCGAUAAUCGAGCUUCAUGUAUUUAUUAUUGACUUUCAAACCUUUUCUCUUAUGUUUAUUUUGAUGAGAUUGUUCUCACCUUAUAUUCAUGAUCGUUAAGUUAGCGAGUUAACUUAAUUUAAUUGAUUUUUUUUAUUUUAUACUAUAACAUUGAGUUGUUUCAAAAUCCAAGUAGACUUGGAGUGGAUUUUUUUAACUUUUUUUUAAUUCUUGUAUGUUUUUUUGUUAUUAUAAUUUUUUUUUUAAUAUUAUUUUUUUACAUUGAAAAAAGUUUUAUUCGACCCGCAUAGUUUCUCACUAUUUUUUCCCAAUUCACCUCAACAAAACAUUUAUUUACCGUGCGUGCUUCGAUGACUCUCAAUCCAAUGGCUCACCCUCCACAAAAAGUUUUAUUAAAGAGAACAAUCACGUCAAUUCUCUCUCCACCAUUUACAUAGCCCACUUCCCCAAAUUCACUUUUCACUUUAAAACUACAUCAUUCACCGUAGAUAAUGUCCAAUCCAACGGCAAACUUUAAAUCAUUCCCCUCCUGCGGAUAUCAAUUCGCGUCCGCCUCAAGUCAAUCUCCACCUAUUGCAGCUCCUCUGGUCUCAUAAAUGAGGUAAGGAUAUUGAUUGCGUAAAAAAAAAGUUAUUAACACUUUAAAUACACUCUUUAAGAUAGGUUGUAUUGUUUUAAUAUCCAAUAAAAUUUAAGGUAUAAUUGUGGUUUUUAAUAGUUGAUUCUAUCUGUCUAAGAUUUAAGAAAAUCACUUCUUUGUAAUGAUGUUUUUAUCUUAAUGGGAUAAAACACAACCGUUCUAGCGUUUAAAAAAAAAAUUAAUAUCCAAAAUACGUAUUACGUGUAAUGUCGUAUCUUAGAUAUUAAAAGUCAAACAAAAUAAAUUUUUUAUUGUUUUUAAAAAUUUUAGUCAAUGUUCUCUUGACUUUAAUAAACUGGUUAUUAAAGCCAAAAUGCAUGCUAAAACAUUGUUUUUUGGUGUAUGAAAAAUACAAUGUGAUUUUUUAGCUUAGGAACAAUUGACUGUAUGCACAAAAACAUUUUUUAAAAUACUUUUUUGCAUUUUGAAAGUUUUUAUGAGAACCGUGUAUUUUAAUACCGGAUUUGUAUUUUUACAGUAUAAAAAUACAAAUCAAUAUUCAGUAAAAAUUAGUAGAAAAAUACAUGGAAAAAUUACAAUUUAAAAAACAAGAAAUUUUUACUUUUUACUCUUUUUUUUGUCGGACCCUGCUAUUUGGGUUAGGCUGGGCCCAACCAUUCAGGUUGGCCCGAAAUUGGUCCAGCCAUGAAUAGUGGAGAUUGGUAGCGAAGGAGAAGAAGGAAGAAGAGAAGACUGACUUGUGGUGGCAUCGAGGCGGUGUUGCUGGCGGUGGUGGUUGCAACGGCGCUACUAGUGAUGGCUGGGGGCGGCGGUGGGCGGCGAUGUUGCUCCUUCUCCCUCUUCUGUUUUGUCCUCUCUUUUUUUCUUUCUUUUCCUUUCCUUUUCUCUCUUCUCUCUUCGUUGUUCUCUCUUUCGGUCUUCCCCCCUCUCUUCUUCAUGUUUUUUUUCCUUUCUGUUCUUCUUUUUUGCUCUCUCUUCCCCUGUUUUUUAAAAGAGGACAGUUGUCACCCCUCUACUGCCCCUCCAACACGUGGAAAGUUGUGGGCAAGUUGGGGUGGUGUCGGUGUCUUUUUGAAAAGGAGUCGGCAUCUUUUUGAAGAGAGAGAUGGCGGUGACAGAGGAAGAAAAGUUUUCUUUUUCUCUUGCUUCGCGCAUCUAGGGGAAGAAGAAAACCCACAGUGUCGUUCAAAAGGGCACCGUUUGGAUCUUUUUUUUUAAAUAGUGCAUGAAACGGCGUCGUUUUGGGCAAAACGCGCCGUUUCAUUUAAAUAAAAACGACGACAAACUUAUGGGAAAGUACAAAUCAGUCCUCGAUUUAUGAUUUGUUCAAUCGAGUCCUCAAUUGCAAUUGUGAUUUUAAAAAUUAAUUCAAUUGCAUCCUUACCAAAUUCAAUUGCCGGCCUUAAAGGUGGUUGCCUUUUCCAAAUCGGUUCUUGGUCUUGAAUUUAUGCAAUUUGACCCUCAAUUGAGCAAUAAACUUUUAAUUUCUUCAAUUUGGCCCCUGGUUUGGUUUAAUUACAACUACUCUAUUUACGUGUGUUUUUUAUUUUGGUCUUUGGUUUUAGAUUUCUUCAACUAAGCCCCUAAUUGACCAUCAAACUUUAAUAUUUAUGCAAUUAAGCCCCUUAUUUGACCAAAUUAACUCUAAAAAAUUAUAAAUUGACCUCGAAACUUUAAUUUCUUCCAAUUAAAACCCAAAUUAACUCCAAAAUCACUUUUCCUUGCAAUCAAACCCUUCAUAAAUUCAAUUAAACCGUCAAUAAAAUUUAAUUGAGUCCAUAAAAUUUGAUUUUAGACUUUUAUUUCUCAAAUUGAAUUUUCUUUUCAACAAGGCUCUUAUCGGUCAACAAAAUACUGUCAAAUUUUAAUAUUUGUAUUUUUGAACCUUCUCAACCAAUUUUAAACCAUGUUUUGAGUGUUAUGCCAUCCUUUUUUUAUUGUUAUAUUUUUUUAUAAUAUUUGUUUUUUUAUUUUUUUGUAUUUUAUUUUAUUUUUUUAAGAGAGAAAAAUAUAAAUAGGAGAAAAACUCAACAAUAGGUUAUGACACGGUAAUCAAUCAAUUAAUCAUAAAACAGCUUAUAUACUAAUCAAAUGACACGUCGUUUCAUACUGUAAUGUUAUUUUUGGGAUUUUGAUGUCUGCAGAUGGUCAAGGAGGCGAUUGUGGCUUUGAAGGGAAGGAGUGGAUCGAGCCAGAUUGCAAUUGCUAAGUUCAUCGAAGAGAAGCACAAGUCCAACCUCCCCACCAAUUUCAAGAAACUGAUGCUUGUUCAAUUGAAGAAACUUGUUGCUAAUGGCAAGCUAGUUAAGGUCAAGAACUCCUUCAAGCUCCCUCCUAAAUCUUCCGCUAAGGAUGCUGCUUCUGUGAAGAAAGCGGCUCCAGCGAAGCCCAAGGCCGAGGCUAAGCCUAAGCCGGAAAAGGCUGCGAAGGCAGAGGCUGUAAAGUCUCCAGCGAAGAAAGCUGUUGUUGCGGCUAAAAAUAAGACUCUGGCGAAAAAGGCUUGAAGAAACCCAAGAGUAUUAAGUCGCAAUAAAGAGGGUGUUUGGCAUUAUUGCGGUGGAAAAAUGCUUUUCAAAAAAUUUGAAUUUUUUUUUUUUACUAGGAAUGAAUAUGUUUUUGAUAUUUUCAAAUUAUUUUGAUGUGUUGAUUUCAAAAAUAAUUUUUAAAAAAUAAAAUAAUAUUAUUGAUAUAUUUUUUUGAGUGAAAAGCACAUUCCCAAACACGCUGAACCACAUUCCCAACCACGCUGAAGACCGAGAAGUGAAAGCUGUUUGUGUGGAUAAAAUGACUUGUAAAUUGAGGGUUAUUUGGGUAUAGAAUUGCUUGAUUUUUUUAGGAGAAAUAAUUUCAAUGUAAUUCAACUUAUAUUUGAAAGCAAAUUGUUUGUUUUAGUGAAUAUUUGGUAUUGGCGUGGUUAAUAUUUUUUGAAAAUGUUUUUUUAUUUAAAAAUAUAUAUUUAAAAUUUUUAACAUCAUUACUACCCGAAAUUAGAAAACCAAAUAAAUAUACUUUUAGAAUUUAUAUAAACAUAGGUUAAAUUUCAUGAAAAGAGUAAAAUAAUUCAAAGUUAAUAGCAUAGCAUUAUUUAUCAAAUAAAUAUUAGAAAAUAAUAUAAAUCAUAUUCUAAGAAUUUACCUAAUAAAUUAAACUAUUGGUUGAGAUGAUUUUUUGACAUAAUAUUAGAGUCUUGAUGACUAACCGGUCACGAGUUUGAAUCUUAUCAUCUCUAUUUAUUUAAUAAAAAUUAAAUAUAAAGUAAUGUAAAUAUACACAAGUUUUAACUUCAAAUGAAGAAAGAUGUUUUUAUUUGACAAGAAAUGAAUUCAUGAACAUGUCGGUGAUUGCAAUAAAGUGUUUGAGCUCCAAUUGAGCAGCGGGCCUGGAAGGAUCCAUGACGAUGUCAUUCCAAAAAGAGCCCGGCUCGAAAAUGGGGCUUGGGUCUGUGUAAAGCUCGUAGAUGGAUUCUGCUUCAGCCCUCAAAUUGCUUGCAUUUGUCAAGCAUUUGUACCCCUCUGGAUCAACCAGGAGCUUGUUGUCCCCAUCUUUCCAUGCUAUCAGCUGCAUUCAUUUUGUGCCAAUCAAAAAGUCAGUGUAUAAGAAAAAUGCAGUCCCUACUUGUCUUUUGAAUCGAUACCAGUACGGAAAUCUACAGGCAAGAAUUAAGAUAACUGCUGCUAGUUCUGAGCUACGAGGUAUGGAAGGUGGGGCUAAUUUCCGUACAUAAUGCAGCGUGUUCGAGGUCCAUUUCUUGUCGAGGCCUCGAGAUACAGAAUAGUGCAUCCAGU
RNAcentral lists this long non-coding RNA (26802 nucleotides) under Populus tremula. Its description in RNAcentral is "long non-coding RNA (PTRE_LNC002814)". Lineage: Eukaryota; Viridiplantae; Streptophyta; Magnoliopsida; Malpighiales; Salicaceae. The record is from RNAcentral.